Molecule: non-coding RNA, 343 nt
Organism: Homo sapiens (human)
Lineage: Eukaryota; Metazoa; Chordata; Mammalia; Primates; Hominidae
Source: the annotation of a RefSeq genome assembly
AUGGCCUCUGCACCCAUCUCGAUGCUUGCGAUGCUCUUCACAUUGAGUGGGCUGAGAGCUCAGUCAGUGGCUCAGCCGGAAGAUCAGGUCAACGUUGCUGAAGGGAAUCCUCUGACUGUGAAAUGCACCUAUUCAGUCUCUGGAAACCCUUAUCUUUUUUGGUAUGUUCAAUACCCCAACCGAGGCCUCCAGUUCCUUCUGAAAUACAUCACAGGGGAUAACCUGGUUAAAGGCAGCUAUGGCUUUGAAGCUGAAUUUAACAAGAGCCAAACCUCCUUCCACCUGAAGAAACCAUCUGCCCUUGUGAGCGACUCCGCUUUGUACUUCUGUGCUGUGAGAGACA